This 579-nucleotide ribosomal RNA is filed under the name Triticum aestivum (bread wheat). Its description in RNAcentral is "partial small subunit ribosomal RNA". Lineage: Eukaryota; Viridiplantae; Streptophyta; Magnoliopsida; Poales; Poaceae. The record is from RNAcentral.
GAUGACUUUUAUGCACAGAGUUCUGCUAUCUGGUGCCAGCUUGAUUCUCUCCGUAGUACUGGUUGUCGUACUUGCCCCUGCUGCCAGGCUGUCCAGGCCAACUUGGAGUUUCAUCGCGUCUACGAGUUCCUGUCUCGGCUCCGUAAGGAGUUUGAGCCCCGGCGUGCUCAGUUGUUUGCUCGUGGCCGUAUUUCUCUCAUGGAGGCGCUUUCAGAGAUUCGUGCUGAGGAGACUCGCUUACGUGGUGCUGGUUUGCUGGAGGUUCCCUCUGUGCUCGCUACUCGGGCUUCUUCCACUCCACCUGCUGCACCGCCCCAUUCUCGCUCGAGUGCUCCGCCACUCUUGCCCACUCCUUUUGGAGGCUCAGGUCGCCCCCGUCCACAUUGUGACUACUGCAACAAUGAUGGUCAUAUUGAGUCCCAGUGCUACACAAAGCGGAAACACCUGCGCAAGGCGCGAUCAUCCUCCUCAGGGACUUCGUCAUCUCCCUCGACAGCUUCAGCCAUUGCUUUGACUGAGCAGGAUAUUCUGAGACUUAAGCGUCUGCUCGCGGCUUCAGGUUCUUCCUCGACGGGUACU